AAUCCUCCGUGGGUCGGCCGGCUGCGGUCGGCUGGAGCAAGAAAUGGCACACAAUCUCAAAGACAAGAAGCUUCUAGAAAAUGCAAGACCAGUUGUGUUGGUGGAUCCUUGCGUUAGUAUGUACAGUGCUCUGGGCCACCCCCCAUUCAUGGAUGACUUUCAUCCCAACGUCAAAGUAGUGCAUCUGCCAUUGAAUACUAUGUCACUCAUCCAACCUAUGGA
Long non-coding RNA from Eubalaena glacialis (North Atlantic right whale), 222 nucleotides. RefSeq lists it as uncharacterized. The transcript has 3 exons. The record is from RefSeq and is a predicted model, not a curated record. Lineage: Eukaryota; Metazoa; Chordata; Mammalia; Artiodactyla; Balaenidae.